GCCGGGAUGGUGGAAUAGGUAGACACGCAAGACUUAAAAUCUUGUGGGAGCAAUCCCGUGCGGGUUCGAUUCCCGCUCCUGGUA
This 84-nucleotide transfer RNA is filed under the name Algoriphagus alkaliphilus. Its description in RNAcentral is "tRNA_Leu_TAA". It matches the Rfam family "tRNA". From Rfam's summary of the family: Transfer RNA (tRNA) molecules are approximately 80 nucleotides in length. Their secondary structure includes four short double-helical elements and three loops (D, anti-codon, and T loops). Lineage: Bacteria; Pseudomonadati; Bacteroidota; Cytophagia; Cytophagales; Cyclobacteriaceae. The record is from RNAcentral. RNAcentral also lists the same sequence under 1 other name.